This 321-nucleotide unclassified non-coding RNA is filed under the name uncultured fungus. RNAcentral's name for it is "partial contains small subunit ribosomal RNA, internal transcribed spacer 1, and 5.8S ribosomal RNA". The stretch from base 1 to 73 matches the Rfam family "Eukaryotic small subunit ribosomal RNA", at positions 1759 to 1831 of the family's 1831-position model. Lineage: Eukaryota; Fungi. The record is from RNAcentral.
GCAAACUUGGUCAUUUAGAGGAAGUAAAAGUCGUAACAAGGUCUCCGUUGGUGAACCAGCGGAGGGAUCAUUAGCGAGUUCUGCACUCCUAAAUUCCCGCGAACCUGUCCCGAGUGAAGCGUUGCCUCGGCCGGGGGGGCCCCAGGGCGGGGUGCUGAACCUGGCCAAGCCAGGUCCCGGCCGGCGGCGGAAAGUCCCGAAGAUUUUUUUCUCCUUCUUCUUCUUCGCCCCAUGCGGCUGCUCUGAGUACAUGUGGGUGGUAAUUCGUGAACAACUUUCAACAACGGAUCUCUUGGUUCUGGCAUCGAUGAAGAACGCAGC